AUUGAACGCUGGCGGCAGGCCUAACACAUGCAAGUCGAGCGAGCGGCGGAAGGGUGAGUAAUGUCUGGGAAACUGCCUGAUGGAGGGGGAUAACUACUGGAAACGGUAGCUAAUACCGCAUACCAUCAGAUGUGCCCAGAUGGGAUUAGCUAGUAGGUGGGGUAAUGGCUCACCAAGGCGACGAUCCCUAGCUGGUCUAAGAGGAUUACCAGCCACACUGGAACUGAGACACGGUCCAGACUCCUACGGGAGGCAGCAGUGGGGAAUAUUGGACAAUGGGCGCAAGCCUGAUGCAGCCAUGCCGCGUGUGUGAAGAAGGCCUUCGGAUUGUAAAGCACUUUCAGCGGGGAGGCGUUACCCGCAGAAGAAGCACCGGCUAACUCCGUGCCAGCAGCCGCGGUAAUUC
Molecule: ribosomal RNA, 406 nt
Filed under: uncultured bacterium
Lineage: Bacteria
Description: partial 16S ribosomal RNA
Rfam family: Bacterial small subunit ribosomal RNA
Source: RNAcentral